RNAcentral lists this ribosomal RNA (460 nucleotides) under uncultured bacterium. RNAcentral describes it as "partial 16S ribosomal RNA". It matches the Rfam family "Bacterial small subunit ribosomal RNA", at positions 338 to 795 of the family's 1533-position model. The record is from RNAcentral.
CCUACGGGAGGCAGCAGUGAGGAAUAUUGGUCAAUGGACGAGAGUCUGAACCAGCCAAGUAGCGUGAAGGAUGACUGCCCUAUGGGUUGUAAACUUCUUUUAUAUGGGAAUAAAAUGUUCCACGUGUGGGAUUUUGUAUGUACCAUAUGAAUAAGGAUCGGCUAACUCCGUGCCAGCAGCCGCGGUAAUACGGAGGAUCCGAGCGUUAUCCGGAUUUAGUGGGUUUAAAGGGAGCGUAGGUGGAUUGUUAAGUCAGUUGUGAAAGUUUGCGGCUCAACCGUAAGAUUGCAGUUGAAACUGGCAGUCUUGAGUACAGUAGAGGUGGGCGGAAUUCGUGGUGUAGCGGUGAAAUGCUUAGAUAUCACGAAGAACUCCGAUUGCGAAGGCAGCUCACUGGACUGCAACUGACACUGAGGCUCGAAAGUGUGGGUAUCAAACAGGAUUAGAUACCCCAGUAGUC